Molecule: non-coding RNA, 446 nt
Organism: Cinara cedri
Lineage: Eukaryota; Metazoa; Arthropoda; Insecta; Hemiptera; Aphididae
Source: the annotation of a GenBank genome assembly
CGGUAGAUUCCGUAGAUUUCGAGUCCGGCGUGUGGUUUUUUUUUGUUUUUUUUUCCUGUUGUUUUUUUCGCCGCUAACGUAGCGUAUUAUGCAUGCAUGUGUAAAUAUAUACAGGGUGGUUCGCCGAGCGCGCUCACCGCAUUAAUUUCGGUUAAAUUUCGCGCGUAACAUAGUCGAAUUCCGAUUUUCGGGACGUUUUCGAACGCUUGGAAUUUUUCACGGCAUUUAACGAAUGGGCGAUACCCGCCGACUUUGGUUUUCCCAACGAGAACCUGCAUUCGGAAUUUCGUACACGGACGGACGGUGGUAUCACUUUAAACAAAAUUUAAACUACGGCCGGACGUAUACCUAUGAACGUCGUGAAAAACCCAAGUAUAUUCGCAAAUAUCGUCGGCUUUGAACGCGCGCUAAAAAUAAUUCAAAGGAAAUCAGAAUUGCAAUGUUUC